This 253-nucleotide ribosomal RNA is filed under the name uncultured bacterium. Its description in RNAcentral is "partial 16S ribosomal RNA". It matches the Rfam family "Bacterial small subunit ribosomal RNA", at positions 524 to 776 of the family's 1533-position model. The record is from RNAcentral.
UACGUAGGCAGCGAGCGUUGUUCGGAGUUACUGGGCGUAAAGGGUGUGUAGGCGGUUCUUUAAGUUUGGUGUGAAAUCUCCCGGCUCAACCGGGAGGGUGCGCCGAAUACUGAGGGACUAGAGUGCGGGAGAGGAAAGUGGAAUUCCUGGUGUAGCGGUGAAAUGCGUAGAUAUCAGGAGGAACACCGGUGGUGUAGACGGCUUUCUGGACCGUAACUGACGCUGAGACACGAAAGCGUGGGUAGCGAACAGG